Molecule: long non-coding RNA, 712 nt
Filed under: Brachypodium distachyon (stiff brome)
Lineage: Eukaryota; Viridiplantae; Streptophyta; Magnoliopsida; Poales; Poaceae
Description: long non-coding RNA (BDIS_LNC001096)
Source: RNAcentral
CGCAUCCACAGUGGCGCACGAGAAUACGAGACGCUGCCGCGUCACACGCAAACAACGGCGGUGGACCCGGCUGCUCAGCGUGGGGACGGGCCGGCGGGCUGCUGCGCCCACGUGGUUGUCUUUUUUUUUUGGAACAAGGCCCACGUGGUUGUCGGGAUGAACGAGUGAAGGCUAGGUGGCUCCAAAGAGGAAUGAGUUGAGUGUCCGUGUGGCCUUGGGCAAAUAUCGGAGAAAUAGCCGGAUCUGUCACCAGCUGCGUGCCAUUAGUCGGCUGGCUGGUGCGCCGUGUGCCUGCGUGUCGUGCCCUCCGCGGUCGAUCCACGUUUCCUUUUUCGAGCCAUCAUUUCCUUGAGCGUCACUGCUGCUAUACUUCGUUCUGUACAAUUAAGCCCCGCGAGAUGCAAAUGUCUCUUCGUUUGGCAUGCUGCUCAAAGCACCCGUCAGUUACGCCCCUCCAUUUUUUGAUGUUUUUUUUUUGCCACGAACUCCAUUUUUUUUAUGUUGCACUCACACUAUUCACGACCGAUAUGGUAUCUUUGUCAGUAAAUGUGUGGAUUGGCUUCAUAAUUCUUAAAAUUAUGGACAGAGUGAGUACAUUAGAUGCCAAUUCUCUCCGACUUUUUCUUGACCUUUUGGUACGUACAUUUUCAUUUCUUCAAAGCUGAAAGCUGCGCGGUCGGUCGACACUGGACACGGAAAUCAAAGCAAGCCU